UGCGAAAGCAUGAGGCUCCCGCAAGGGACAUCGCCACAGGUGUUGCAUGGCUGUCGUCAGCUCGUGUCGUGAGAUGUUCGGUUAAGUCCGCUAACGAGCGCAACCCUCGCCGUGUGUUACAAGUGUCACACGGGACCGCCGGUAUCAAGCCGGAGGAAGGUGGGGAUGACGUCAAGUCAGCAUGGCCUUUAUGUCCGGGGCUACACACACGCUACAAUGGCCGAUACAAUGGGUUGCUAAACCGCGAGGUGGAGCCAAUCCCCCAAAGUCGGCCUCAGUUCAGAUUGCAGGCUGCAACUCGCCUGCAUGAAGCUGGAGUUGCUAGUAAACGCGCGUCAGCUAUAGUGCGUUGAAUACGUUCUCGGGCCUUGUACACACCGCCCGUCACGUCAUGGGAGCUGGUAACACCUGAAGCCGGUAGCCUAACCGCAAGGAGGGCGCCGUCGAAGGUGGGACUGGUGACUGGGACGAAGUCGUAACAAGGUAGGAGUACCGGAAGG
Molecule: ribosomal RNA, 500 nt
Filed under: uncultured bacterium
Lineage: Bacteria
Description: bacterial SSU rRNA
Rfam family: Bacterial small subunit ribosomal RNA
Source: RNAcentral